Orbicella faveolata is the source of this 1502-nucleotide long non-coding RNA. RefSeq lists it as uncharacterized. The record is from RefSeq and is a predicted model, not a curated record. Lineage: Eukaryota; Metazoa; Cnidaria; Anthozoa; Scleractinia; Merulinidae.
UUACACUGCUCGUGAUGUUGAAUACUCUUCCAAGUUACACUCGCUCAAGGGCUUGUAACAAUACAAACCGGCACUUAAUUAUCCUACGAGGUUUGCGCUAUACUCAUUUACUUGACUCCGAAUAUUGGGAAAUCUGACGCUGACAUUUGUUUUGCAUGGCUGUUGAUGCUACUGGUUUGAAUGUAAAUCAUCUUUGGGCAAUUGUGUGUGUCGCAUCAAAAUUUCGAGAGAUUUUAACAAGCGCGUGGCGCCUUUUUAAUUAAAUGCCACCGUCUCUAAAAGAACUUUUAGUCCCGAUAAGCCCAGAGAUACCCGGUCUCAAUGUAGCAGGAUGUGACACGUGACCAUACUGUGAAUGGGUGUUGCCUCUCGUGUCGAGACAUACUAAAAAUAGACUCGGCUUUUGCCAGUCGUCCAAAAGCAACAGGGGACGUCUGACACAAUGAAAACCGAACAUUACCUUUUAGAAUCCUUAAUCCUGAAGCACUGAAGCGUAUGGAUAGACUUGCAGAUAGCCCUCACUUCCCCUGGGUUAGUCGAAUGGGCGGCGGCAAGUCGACGCGAGCGAGAGCUACUGGAACUGAUUUUCGCGCGUGCUUGAGUGCGCACCCAUUUUGACAUCAGUAAUCCAAAAGAUCGUGGCUAAUAUAACUUAAAACUACUUAAAAUUGAGCCGGUAACGGAACUCUCGAGAGUCGCUCGUUUCGUCAAGUUUGCACAACAAGGAACGGUGUGUCAAGUGUUACACUCAGAAAAUAAAGUCGUUUAGGAUCCUGGGAACGAGGUGCAAGAGUGCGCAAGUCAGUAACGAAACUCGUCGUCACUCGCCGUCACACAGAUGAGAACCAAUCGUCGUAUUGCAUUUUGAUCACGUGCUAGUUACUAUAAAAUCAUUGCCACAAGCCAGUUUGCACGAGGUACGAAAGAUGGCGGACGUUGUCGGAGGUUUAUGCUGUGCAUUUUGUAGUGGAGGUCUUCUAAAGGCCACAAAAAAAUCAGUGGCACUGGGAUGUUUUUUUCACCUCUUACCAAUGGUCCGUUGGAUGAGGUACAUUAGAGCAGUGAGAUGCAUUUGAAAACUGCUUCCUCUUCUGUCUGACAAUGAUACCCUUUAAAAUUAUACAACAAAUGCAGUUCAGCAACUUCUGUGCCUUGGCUGUACUACAGACAGAGCUUCAAGGGUUACUGAAGAAUGCACAGUGAGACACACAAUGUGCAUUGAUUGUUGAGGAAAAGCUAAGAAAUUAACUUCAACCAAGAUGGGUUCUGAUGUAUGCAUGUGGGCAAAAGGCUAUUCAAAAGAAGCAAAAUAGCUGGCAUGAACUUGAAAGCUCAGGAAAUGUAAGUUGAGUUUUCCAUUUCAAUGGGAACGAACAUGAAAUAUGUGAUGGACAAAUAUUGCGGCCAAUAUUAUAUUUAAAGUUGAAGAUAAAAUAAAGAUUGAUUAACUUCACUUCUCGAUAACAUUUAUUGGGUGGUUGCGUUAACAGAAAAUUGAAGUA